GUGCACCAGUCGAGAAACUUCACACUGUGCGAAAGCACGAUGAGGGAAUCCCAAGUGCUUGCACGUAAGUGUAAGCUGUUUCUCUGUCUAAAACGCAGAGAGAGUAAGGGCUGGGUAAGACGGGUGCCAGCCGCCGCGGUAAUACCUGCAGCUCAAGUGGUGACCGUUAUUAUUGGGCCUAAAACGUCCGUAGCCGGUUUAAUAAAUGCCUGGGUAAAUUGUGUAGCUUAACUAUACGAAUUCCGGGUAGACUGUUAAACUUGAGACCGGGAGAAGUUAGAGGUACUCCUGGGGUAGAGGUGAAAUUCUGUAAUCCUAGGGGACCACCAGUGGCGAAGGCGUCUAACUAGAACGGGUCUGACGGUGAGGGACGGAGCCCUGGGGCGCAAACGGGGAUUAGAUACCCGUGUAGU
This 413-nucleotide ribosomal RNA is filed under the name uncultured microorganism. RNAcentral describes it as "bacterial SSU rRNA". It matches the Rfam family "Archaeal small subunit ribosomal RNA", at positions 330 to 745 of the family's 1478-position model. The record is from RNAcentral.